CUAGCUAAAUUGUUUGGCUCCAAAGAUUCUGAUUUGGCAACACAGAAUCGUCCUCUUUGGCAAUGUUUUCUUGGACGAUUUAAUGAUAUUCAUGUUCCUGUGAGAUUAGAAAGUGUGAAAUUUGCCAGUCAUUGUUUAAUGAAUCACCCAGAUUUAGCGAAGGAUCUCACAGGUAAGCUAGCUGGUUUAUUACACAUAUUAGCAUAACCAUACAACUAUAUUGUAGAUAUGACUUGUGACCUAACUUCACUUUCCAAGUAGGUUUUAACUCUGGUAUGGUCUCGUGUUUUCAUUUGUUGUGCACUAAGAAAUGAUUUCAUGUUCAUGUAAUAAAAUUACAUUUAAAAUCUC
RNAcentral lists this long non-coding RNA (351 nucleotides) under Homo sapiens (human). Its description in RNAcentral is "non-protein coding lnc-SMIM14-11:1". The record is from RNAcentral. Lineage: Eukaryota; Metazoa; Chordata; Mammalia; Primates; Hominidae.